AGUGAACGCUGGCGGUAGGCCUAACACAUGCAAGUCGAACGGCAGCACAGUAAGAGCUUGCUCUUACGGGUGGCGAGUGGCGGACGGGUGAGGAAUACAUCGGAAUCUACUUUUUCGUGGGGGAUAACGUAGGGAAACUUACGCUAAUACCGCAUACGACCUACGGGUGAAAGCAGGGGAUCUUCGGACCUUGCGCGAUUGAAUGAGCCGAUGUCGGAUUAGCUAGUUGGCGGGGUAAAGGCCCACCAAGGCGACGAUCCGUAGCUGGUCUGAGAGGAUGAAUCGCCACACUGGAACUGAGACACGGUCCAGACUCCUACGGGAGGCAGCAGUGGGGAAUAUUGGACAAUGGGCGCAAGCCUUAUCCAGCCAUACCGCGGGGGGGAAGAAGGCCUUCGGGUUGUAAAACCCUUUUUUUGGGAAAGAAAAACAGCAGGUUAAUACCCCGCUGUUCUGACGGGACCCAAAGAAUAAGCACCGGCUAACUUCGUG
RNAcentral lists this ribosomal RNA (492 nucleotides) under uncultured bacterium. RNAcentral's name for it is "partial 16S ribosomal RNA". It matches the Rfam family "Bacterial small subunit ribosomal RNA", at positions 29 to 507 of the family's 1533-position model. The record is from RNAcentral.